Long non-coding RNA from Drosophila navojoa, 344 nucleotides. Lineage: Eukaryota; Metazoa; Arthropoda; Insecta; Diptera; Drosophilidae. The record is from RefSeq and is a predicted model, not a curated record.
AGCGCCGCUGUCAAGGGCAGCUGCGUCGACAGCGACGCCGUCGGUGGACGAUAGAGCCGAGCGGCCUCUCGCCAUUUGUCGAUGCGUUCGAUCGUUGUUUUUAAUGUGUCUUUGAUGUUGUCUAACGAUUCGGUUAGCUGCUAGCUUUUCGCGAAAAUUCAAAACGAAAUCUUUUCGCUCAGUAUCGAGGGAAAUCACGACGCGCCAACUUGGUGGGAAAUGCCAGUACGUGAACGCGCUCAAUUAGUGUGCACAAGGAUUAGCAGCAAAACGCUCACUAACUUUUUCAGCGUUAAAAGCACAAACAAAAAUUCGUGUCAUAAAAUCCCAUAUUAAAAAUACAA